ACUAGUGGGAAAUGAAUUUGUGUUGGUCAAAACCCCUUUUUAUUUUUCAUAAAACUAAAUAACAAAUUAACGUUAUAAUAUAAUUAGCAGGCAGAAAGCAUCAAUACAUGGCAACAGAAAAGUCUCUCUGAAGAUGAAAAAUAGCAGCUUGCAGGGUUUGAUAGUCUGCUGUUCGGGUAUUUAAAGUUGGACAUUGCACAAUAUGCUCCGAAAAAAAUAGUUUUGGAAAAGGGUGUGAAGUACUAUGAGCAGCUGUUAAAGGAGCAUGCUAAAGAGACGGGAGAGGACGAUGACAUCAAAGGGAAGCAACUCGACCCCGCCGUCUACUGCCAUCUCGGACACCUGCACCUGCUGCUGGAAGAUUAUCCAAAAGUCAGCUGUUCGUGUUUUUAAAGUUGGACAUUGCACAAGAUGCUCCAAAAAAAGUUUUGGAAAAGGGUGUGAAGUACUGUGACCUGCUGUCAAAGGAGCAUGCUAGAGCCGGGAGACGACGAUGACAUCAAAGGGAAGCAACUGGACCCUGCCAUCUCGGACACGUACACUUGCUGCUGGAAGAUUAUCCAAAAGAGAUGCCCUCCUGGCUUGGAAUUGCUGUGUUCGUUGACGACUCGCAUGUCUCCUGGCUAUCCGCUCGAUGCUCUUCAAGUGGCAUAUGACCAAUGUUUCGUCAUGUAUCCCAGCUCCCACAGCUGUACAUCGUUGAAUGACCGAACUUGAAAACCCACUGUUCAGCAUGUGCACAGCACUGUGUAUGUGGCUGGUGAAAUUUCUGUGAUAUUCUGCUCUGGGAUGACUGUAAUCCAGACAUGGCAUGGGAAUCGCCAUCAGUCGUGAAGAAUCCAAUCGUGAGUGGAGAGACGUCUGAUGAGAAGUCACUGGAACACUGAGCUGCAGAAUGUUUUUCAUCUCCUAUUGUGUCGUCAAGCCGGAGAUUUGCUGUACAGGAACUCGCCUGCCUGUGUACCACCUCCAGUUGAGAUCCGUGUUGGUCAGAGAAGUCUGAUGUCACUAGGAAUUCCAUCCGCAUCCUUGACGAUGUAUGACUGUCUAUCACAAUGGUGUACCACAGCGUUGAACUCUUCUUGACUAAGUCUCUUGGUAACUGAAUGCUCGCUUUGAUUCGAGGAUUGGAUCCCAAAUCUCUUGAAUACAACAAAGGCACCACAAAUUGGCUCAUUUUCCUUCAGAAUUAAUGAAUGUUGAAAUGUUGCUUUACUUUUCCACCAUGUUUAGAUGUGGGUCAUUCUAAACAAAAUGUAAUAUUUUCGUAAUGGUAAAACAACAAAAUGAUAAUUUUCUUUGACAAACUAUUUUGUUACCUCUGUAAAAUUAAUUAUACAAGGACAUCCUGAAUUUUUUUUUACAUCUUAUUAAGCAUUAGUAUUCUAAUUAUACUUAGACCACAUACUUUUCUGCUAAGUUGUAGUGAAAUAUCAGGGGAUGGCAUUAUGUAACCAGUAUCUUUUGAUUUUCAAUAAAAACUUUCAGUUUUUAUAAAAAUUUAUUGAAAAUAGCUUUUCUGGCACGAGUCCUUUCAUAGAUGUGUUUUUUCUGACAUCUGGAGAAAAUCAAUGCAUAGAAAGACAUUUAGAGAGCUCCAAUGAUUGAUUUUCUUAAGGCAAGUAUCAAAAAACAUCUACAAAAGGACGUGUGAAAAAACCAUCUACAAAAGGACGAGUUGAAAAAACCAUCUACAAAAGGACGAGUUAAAAAACCCAUCUACAAAAGGACGAGUGAAAAAACAUCUACAAAAGGACGAGUGCCAUACAUAUUUCGAGUUCAGUCAGUGUUAUUAUGUUAGUAUAAUUAUAUAAUUCACUACUUUUCAUGUUUGUACCCUGAUGUCACUCUGACAUGUAACUUGUUUGAUUUGUUGAAUAGUGUACCUAACAUUAGAAUGACAUCACAUCUAAAGCGUCCUUGGUUUUAGAUAAAAUUUGAAAUAUUUAGCACUGAUAUAUUAUAAGAUGCUUUGCAGUGCUUAUAUUAAAGCAAAAGUAGGAAUGACACAUUGUAUUCAUUAUUGAAAAUACAAAGUAUAUAGUGUCUUAAACGGACAUUCCUGAGUCUGCUACACUAAGAUGUUUCCGACUAAUAAAAUAUUUCUAUGAUUAAAUUUACAUAUUAAAUAUAUGUUCUUGUUUAGAAUAUCAG
Molecule: long non-coding RNA, 2154 nt
Organism: Gigantopelta aegis
Lineage: Eukaryota; Metazoa; Mollusca; Gastropoda; Neomphalida; Peltospiridae
Exons: 9
Source: RefSeq, a predicted model, not a curated record